UGCAAGUCGAGCGGUAACAGAGAGUAGCUUGCUACUUUGCUGACGAGCGGCGGACGGGUGAGUAAUGCUUGGGAACAUGCCUUGAGGUGGGGGACAACAGUUGGAAACGACUGCUAAUACCGCAUAAUGUCUACGGACCAAAGGGGGCUUCGGCUCUCGCCUUUAGAUUGGCCCAAGUGGGAUUAGCUAGUUGGUGAGGUAAUGGCUCACCAAGGCGACGAUCCCUAGCUGGUUUGAGAGGAUGAUCAGCCACACUGGGACUGAGACACGGCCCAGACUCCUACGGGAGGCAGCAGUGGGGAAUAUUGCACAAUGGGCGCAAGCCUGAUGCAGCCAUGCCGCGUGUGUGAAGAAGGCCUUCGGGUUGUAAAGCACUUUCAGUCAGGAGGAAAGGUUAGUAGUUAAUACCUGCUAGCUGUGACGUUACUGACAGAAGAAGCACCGGCUAACUCCGUGCCAGCAGCCGCGGUAAUACGGAGGGUGCGAGCGUUAAUCGGAAUUACUGGGCGUAAAGCGUACGCAGGCGGUUUGUUAAGCGAGAUGUGAAAGCCCCGGGCUCAACCUGGGAACUGCAUUUCGAACUGGCAAACUAGAGUGUGAUAGAGGGUGGUAGAAUUUCAGGUGUAGCGGUGAAAUGCGUAGAGAUCUGAAGGAAUACCGAUGGCGAAGGCAGCCACCUGGGUCAACACUGACGCUCAUGUACGAAAGCGUGGGGAG
This 717-nucleotide ribosomal RNA is filed under the name Pseudoalteromonas sp. RNAcentral describes it as "bacterial SSU rRNA". It matches the Rfam family "Bacterial small subunit ribosomal RNA", at positions 56 to 768 of the family's 1533-position model. The record is from RNAcentral. Lineage: Bacteria; Pseudomonadati; Pseudomonadota; Gammaproteobacteria; Alteromonadales; Pseudoalteromonadaceae.